Molecule: transfer RNA, 75 nt
Filed under: Candidatus Terrybacteria bacterium RIFCSPHIGHO2_02_41_19
Lineage: Bacteria; Candidatus Terryibacteriota
Also listed under: 1 other name
Description: tRNA-Cys
Rfam family: tRNA
About the family: Transfer RNA (tRNA) molecules are approximately 80 nucleotides in length. Their secondary structure includes four short double-helical elements and three loops (D, anti-codon, and T loops). Further hydrogen bonds mediate the characteristic L-shaped molecular structure. tRNAs have two regions of fundamental functional importance: the anti-codon, which is responsible for specific mRNA codon recognition, and the 3' end, to which the tRNAs corresponding amino acid is attached (by aminoacyl-tRNA synthetases). tRNAs cope with the degeneracy of the genetic code in two manners: having more than one tRNA (with a specific anti-codon) for a particular amino acid; and 'wobble' base-pairing, i.e. permitting non-standard base-pairing at the 3rd anti-codon position.
Source: RNAcentral
GGCCGCGUAGCCAAGUGGUAAGGCAGGAGUCUGCAAAACUCCUAUGCGCCGGUUCGAUUCCGACCGCGGCCUCAA